ACAGCCAAGGCGCCCUCUACCUCCCCCUCCUCCAGUCUACGCUCAAUUUUGUCAGCCUCGACGGGUAUUGCCAAAGAUAUUUGCACCACAUCAUUCUCAUCCAGCAUUGAUUCGACGUGCACAGAGUCUUCGUUGUCCUCGCACAAAGUCAGCCUUUUAUGAACAGAGGCAUGAGACUGACUUGCUUCAUAGUAAACCAUGCAGCUCUGAGAAACCCAAUGAGAACAA
Long non-coding RNA from Limulus polyphemus (Atlantic horseshoe crab), 228 nucleotides. RefSeq lists it as uncharacterized. The record is from RefSeq and is a predicted model, not a curated record. Lineage: Eukaryota; Metazoa; Arthropoda; Merostomata; Xiphosura; Limulidae. The transcript is spliced from 3 exons.